UAGAAGUGUAAAUAUCCUUCCCCGAGGGAC
RNAcentral lists this non-coding RNA (30 nucleotides) under Mus musculus (house mouse). The record is from RNAcentral. Lineage: Eukaryota; Metazoa; Chordata; Mammalia; Rodentia; Muridae.